RNAcentral lists this long non-coding RNA (1623 nucleotides) under Paramuricea clavata. The record is from RNAcentral. Lineage: Eukaryota; Metazoa; Cnidaria; Anthozoa; Malacalcyonacea; Plexauridae.
UUUCAACAUUGGGUUUUUCCUUCACAGGACGUUUUCAUGAAUUUCUGGCAUUUAUAUACAGAUAUAUGUUCAUGUUCUCAUUCGGCAGUCUGUUUUGUAUACGUGGCUGUUACGGCUGUUCUCGUCUAAACUUAUGUUGUGUCACUGUGACUGUAUAUAAUUUGCUACUGUUCCUGUGUUAGGAAAAAUGCAUGUCUACGUGGGAUAGAGCGAUUAUCGUUUUCAGAUGCCCACAGUUGAAAUCAAUAUAUUGUGGGACGGUGCAGCUAGUUGUUUUCAGAUUGCCCGAAUAUUUAUAUAUUUUGCAGCAUUGUAUAAAUGGAAUAUUCAAUGUGCGGCUACCUCCGAUGUAUGCCAUGAUUAUUCCGCUGCGUUGUGUGAUGUAUGCCAAAUUCAUUUCGUUGUGACGUUUACAUAUAUGUCAAUACUUCUAACGUUUUGCAGUAUUGUUAUAGAAUAUCAAUUAGAUUAUUCCACUGCUUUUUGUCUUACAUGUUAUUUUAUUAUUGUACAGUAUGUUUUUGUUAGGUUUAUAGCCCGUUUAGCUGGUAUGUCGAUAUCAAUCGGUCAAGCCACAGUUAAUAAGCAACUCAAAUUUUGCUUGUCUGCGUUCUUUAGUCGUUCCUUUCAGCACAUCCAUGCUACUAGCCCAAGCAUCUCAAGUACAAAUGGCCGCUGAAGAAAACGUCAAUCAUCCACCCUUCAUGGUUGCCAGUACACUGACAGUGAAAUGUUAUGGCCAACUUGGUACUUCCUAUCCUUCAACUAUUUUUGUCCGCACCACCCGCUCUAAUAUAGAUUUGUGGUUUGUGACUUGGCAGUACGCGGUGGCGCCAAAUUAAAAAUUUUAUACACAAUUGCGCUCUUUGCGGCCAAACCACAUACUACGAUGCCAGGGGGGUUAAAAGUCAUUAGGAAGCUUGAAUACGCGACCAAGAUGCCUAAUUCUGGUUAUUUUAUGACAAUGGGCUUCCAAUCUCUUGGCAACCUAGACAUUCUCCAUGCAUAGAAUAUAUCCGAUUGCAAAAUUUUAAUUUUCAUCCCCUCGAUUCUCCAGUAAUGGCGCCCCAACCGCUGUCAAGUCUCGACCUACCAACACCAGUCAAAAUAAAUAAAUUAAUUUAUUAAUGCAUUUACUGGGUGGACAUGAUGCGAAAUUGACUGUUUAUUCAUAUGCAGGUUUUACAUUUGCGAAUAUCGUUUCAUGCAAAUUAUAAUAAUCUUAUCUGCUGAACAAAACCAUGAAAUUGUGAGCACUAUAUUAAAUGUCUAGAGGAAUAGUUGCGUGUUCGCCUUUGGGUAUUGUUUAUACUAAACAAGCGCCGGAAUACAUUAUUUAUUUUCUCUAAAUUAUAUUGUUAAUUUUGGUAGUCAUUGCGAUAAACUACGCUCGUGCUGAUGUCGUACAUGCGACAUGUUUAAUUACUUUAAUAUACGGCUUCAGAAACGGUUGCUAAAACACAGCUAAAUAUUUCGCAUUAUGACUUCCCGACUUGGCAGCUUCGGAAUUAUCACCAAUGCCGCAUUCAUCGCUGAUUUCUUAUCUCUUUGCCAAUAUUUGGGAGUGCCAAUCCGUGAGCUCUCAUUCGCAAGAAUUGAAUUAGACGCUUUACGCAUGACAGC